CGAACUGGCGACCGGCGCACGGGUGAGUAACACGUAUCCAACCUGCCCGAUACCGGGGUAUAGCCCAUGGAAACGUGGAUUAACACCCCAUAGUACUUUUAUCCUGCAUGGGAUGUGAGUUAAAUGUUCAAGGUAUCGGAUGGGCAUGCGUCCUAUUAGUUAGUUGGCGGGGUAACAGCCCACCAAGACGAUGAUAGGUAGGGGUUCUGAGAGGAAGGUCCCCCACAUUGGAACUGAGACACGGUCCAA
Molecule: ribosomal RNA, 249 nt
Filed under: uncultured bacterium
Lineage: Bacteria
Description: partial 16S ribosomal RNA
Rfam family: Bacterial small subunit ribosomal RNA
Source: RNAcentral